UGGCAGUGUGGUUAGCUGGUUGUGUGGAUUUCAAGUUUUCACAGCCACUAUCCAUACUGCGCCC
This 64-nucleotide microRNA precursor is filed under the name Triops cancriformis. RNAcentral describes it as "microRNA tcf-mir-34 precursor". Its record names the gene tcf-mir-34. The record is from miRBase by way of RNAcentral. Lineage: Eukaryota; Metazoa; Arthropoda; Branchiopoda; Notostraca; Triopsidae.